AUGAACAGGAUGCGUGCGGCGGGCACAUCAACAGGACCGGUCCCUGGGCGCAUAGCGGCAUCGAGCUGCAGUUCGAUAGACAUAAAGGAGGCAUCAUAUAUUGUCUUAGACAAAAUAUCAAAGUUCACAUCCAGGUGCGAAGAGGUCCUUCUUUCGACUGCAAGGAAGAAGGAAGAGGAAAAUCACCGCCAUUUCAAUGGACUAAAUAGCCUGAAAAAUUCAGCUCAACACACAAUCAAGAGGGAGGCAAAAAGAGUGAGAGACGAGUUCUUUUCCUUCUUCUCAAUUAUCGAGAGGCAAGAUGCCGAGACGAGGACAAGGAGGAGUGAUACAAGUAACAAUGCCAACUCAACGGGAUGCCGUGCGACACCCCCAAUGACAGACACUGCUGCGCCGAAAGCUCGCGAAGCGGCCGAGACACCUCCAGUCAGCGUCAGACAUCGAGGCAACUCUAACAUAUCACCGGAGGUCGUUGAGGUUUCUCCUCGACGAUUUAAGAGGACAUCCAAGAAACCAAAGAAAGUAAGAUUCGAGUGCGAGGCGUCAGAUAUCAUGGACAUCACAGAUUCAGAAGACAAUACAAACAUGGUCAAUUCACCAGUUCCACCAUUUAAUCCUGCCAACACAAUGGGAGAUUGUCACGUUGAAGGCAACUCGCCCAACUGUAACAUCGUUCUAGACAGCCUCAUAAGAGAAGCAGAGAGAUGCAACAGGGCAGGCAAGCAGUUUGAUGAGAGUUCCGCCGCAACCAACAAGUCAAUUAUGGACAUUGUACCAGGGACGUCGUCCCCCGACCGCGUCGGGGGCGCGGAUGUUGCAUCAACAUACCCCGUUUGUUGCACUCAAGACCCUAAUUACCACAACAACCGCCAGUGGGACUACCCUGAUGGACACCCACUUCUUGAAGAGACGCCAUCGUUUGACUUGGGCGUCAUCACACCCCCUUGCAACAAGUCAAAAAGUCCCAGUCUGGUUAGUAUUGCUACCAUGAGGGACAUCACCCGGAGAGACCUUUUUGGCGCGGGCGACUUUGGAAUGAGUACUCCAGGGUCUACUAACCUCGGGACACCACCAACGCCUUUCCACAUAGCCAGUGCAAGUGUAGACCCAACUCAGCAAUGGCAGCUCGUGUGUGACGUUUCACCAGUUAGUUGCACAAGGUCUGUAGCCACUGGACUCUUGGACUUCAGAGAAGAAGUGGGGGCAGAUUGUGUCAACCUCAACAAGCCAGUAGAGGAAAAUUCACUGUCUACACCGCCACCGAAAAGGAGAGUGGUGCCCGGACCUGCCGGACGAUCGCCUUUUGUGACGCAGUACCGUCUGUCCGAGAGGGCGUCGGGAAACGCCACCCACUUAUAUCUAGUAUUCUCGCAGAUGAGUGGCGCAGUGUUAAACAACAACUGGGUUGUUAGCCCAUACCCUAGUUACAUAGAACUGAUGGGCGCCAUACUGAAGAAGCAGCUUAGCGUUGGCAGGUUCAUAGAGAUAGAUCUAAUGAAUGUAUUCAUGCGAAGGUUCCAGCAGCUAGAGAAUGUUUGGGCAAGAAAAUACGGUGAUUCAUCCUGGAGGCAUUAUCUGGAGCCGGAAUUCGUGAGCCACGUGUUGUGCGGCGGUGAUUUCAUUCGUCACGACUACGGAAGGAACAUUUUUGUUGGCCACCAUAUCUCCCACGAUGUCAACAGAUGCCCUAUGAUGGUUUUGCCAGUGCACCACACACACGCCUGGUCUACAUACAUCUUUGAUUUCCCGAGGAGGAGAACAACAAUUCUCGACCCUAUGAUAAACAACGGAGACAGGCCGGCAGACGAACUCCGAAAUGAGCACAUAAAGAUAGCUGACGAGCUACGCGCUGCGCUAAUGGUUUGCAUAGCCGAAUACUUUGAUGGCUGGACGCCCAAGACCAAAGGGUGGCAGAAUUGGUUCCCAAAGCUGACCACAGGCCCUUGGGUCUGCACCCGUGCAUCCAGCGGGGUCGUUGCACUACAUUACGCAAGGCAGUGGAUGGGGACAAAGUUACAGAGGACACUAUCGCCAGGGAUGAGUUCGACCAAUCUAGGAUGA
This 2061-nucleotide ribosomal RNA is filed under the name Triticum aestivum (bread wheat). Its description in RNAcentral is "partial small subunit ribosomal RNA". Lineage: Eukaryota; Viridiplantae; Streptophyta; Magnoliopsida; Poales; Poaceae. The record is from RNAcentral.